RNAcentral lists this non-coding RNA (29 nucleotides) under Homo sapiens (human). The record is from RNAcentral. Lineage: Eukaryota; Metazoa; Chordata; Mammalia; Primates; Hominidae.
UAUCAAGUUCUUCAUUGACUUCUCAGUGC